Molecule: ribosomal RNA, 881 nt
Filed under: uncultured bacterium
Lineage: Bacteria
Description: bacterial SSU rRNA
Rfam family: Bacterial small subunit ribosomal RNA
Source: RNAcentral
GAACGCUGGCGGCGUGCCUAAAACAUGCAAGUAGAACGCUGAAGGAGGAGCUUGCUUCUCUGGAUGAGUUGCGAACGGGUGAGUAACGCGUAGGUAACCUGCCUGGUAGCGGGGGAUAACUAUUGGAAACGAUAGCUAAUACCGCAUAAGAGUAGAUGUUGCAUGACAUUUGCUUAAAAGGUGCACUUGCAUCACUACCAGAUGGACCUGCGUUGUAUUAGCUAGUUGGUGGGGUAAGGGCUCACCAAGGCGACGAUACAUAGCCGACCUGAGAGGGUGAUCGGCCACACUGGGACUGAGACACGGCCCAGACUCCUACGGGAGGCAGCAGUAGGGAAUCUUCGGCAAUGGACGGAAGUCUGACCGAGCAACGCCGCGUGAGUGAAGAAGGUUUUCGGAUCGUAAAGCUCUGUUGUAAGAGAAGAACGAGUGUGAGAGUGGAAAGUUCACACUGUGACGGUAUCUUACCAGAAAGGGACGGCUAACUACGUGCCAGCAGCCGCGGUAAUACGUAGGUCCCGAGCGUUGUCCGGAUUUAUUGGGCGUAAAGCGAGCGCAGGCGGUUAGAUAAGUCUGAAGUUAAAGGCUGUGGCUUAACCAUAGUAGGCUUUGGAAACUGUUUAACUUGAGUGCAAGAGGGGAGAGUGGAAUUCCAUGUGUAGCGGUGAAAUGCGUAGAUAUAUGGAGGAACACCGGUGGCGAAAGCGGCUCUCUGGCUUGUAACUGACGCUGAGGCUCGAAAGCGUGGGUAGCAAACAGGAUUAGAUACCCUGGUAGUCCACGCCCUAAACGAUGUCAAUUAGCUGUUGGACAACUUGAUUGCUUAGUAGCGUAGCUAACGCGUGAAAUUGACCGAACUGGGGAGUACGGUCGCAAGAUUA